GGGUUGUUGCUCGGCCUGGGAAGGAGCAGAGAGGGGUGGCGAGCUCCGAGCUCACGGCGAGAUCGCGUUCUUGAAGAAAACGGCGGCUAGGGUUCCUCGGACGCGCGUCUAACGGAAAAGAAGCCCGCUGAGAUGCUUGGGAGCUUUAUAGGGCGCUGGGCAAACGUUUUGGCAAGCAAAUCCCGGAGUCCACGGUUUCGGUUCGGUGGAAAUCUCCCGGCCGAGUCCUACUCGCUCACGGCGAGAGGAGGGGGACGAGCGCCGCCCAGUGGGGCCCGCAUGUCAGCGGCAAGGAGGAGGGGGAAAGGAACGGGCCUAGCGGUCAGACAGAGAGGGGAGGGGGUGCGCAUGCGCGCCCUGGCCGCGCAGCUGGGCCGCAGGGGUGCUGGGCCGCGCGCGGGGGCUGGCUACGGCUGAGGGGUUUUGUUUUUUUUUUUAACUUUUUCCAAUAUAUUUUUCCCAAGCCUUUUCAAAGAGAGUUUUGAAUGCAAACAAAAUCAAACAAAAGGCAACAUCACAAAAUUAAAUAUGCACCAGCAUGAAAUGCACAACCAUGUUUUCUAAAAUCAUAAUAAAUUUUAAUUUUGACCAAAACUAUUUUAUCCACUAGAUUCAAUGCUCACCAAAAUGCUUAAUUAAAUCAAAUUAAUUCCUAUUGAUUGAAAACAAAUUUUCGGGUGUUACAUUCUUCUAUAAUUUUAUCUAGUACUUUAUACUCCCUCCUUGGUCAUUCUGGAGUUCAAAUCAUGUACCCAAAUAAGGCCUUGUUUAGUUUCGAAAAGUGAAAAGUUUUCGGUACUGUAGCACUUUCGUUUGUUUGUGACAAAUAUUAUCUAAUCAUGGACUAACUAGGAUCAAAAGAUUCGUCUUGUGAUUUACAGCUAAACUGUGUAAUUAGUUUUUAUUUUCGUCUAUAUUUAAUGUUUCAUGCAUGUGCCAUAAGAUUCGAUGUGAUGGGAAAUCUUGAAAACUUUUUGGUUUCAAUACCUACGAACUAGCUCUGCAGCUUUACCGGUCACCCCAUCCCACCUCCUAUAUAUUGCCCUCAAUUGCUCGUCCCCACAUCCCUUGUAGCAACGUGAUUGGUCUUUAUUAUCUUCGUGCCUAGCUCCAGUACGACAAACAAUCGGGAACGGUGGGGGAGUAAGUUUUUAAUUUAAUAUAUAAUUUUUUUCACUAGCAAAACAUGCCCGUGCGUUGCAACGGAAGAAAAAAUAGUUUUAAUCCUUAAUAGAA
This 1236-nucleotide long non-coding RNA is filed under the name Sorghum bicolor (sorghum). RNAcentral's name for it is "long non-coding RNA (SBIC_LNC002301)". Lineage: Eukaryota; Viridiplantae; Streptophyta; Magnoliopsida; Poales; Poaceae. The record is from RNAcentral.